AAUGGUCCAAGUUGGAGGGGUAGGGUUAUAAUGGCCUUGGGUGGUAAGUUUUGGAUGAAUGGUGACAAAAGAUUGGCAUAUAUUGUUGGGUUUGUGUCAAAUAGAGAAUAGAAACCACCAUAUUCAAAAGGAUAAAGAAGAAGAAAGAAAAAACAAAGAGAAAUGACAUGUGAAUAAUACUUUGAGAUUGAAUUACCUCAACAACAAAGACAAGCUACCAUAUAUAGUCAAUCAAAACAACAACAACAAAUAGUAAGAACCAAGAUAACCAAGACUGAACGGUCAUUAAUAGUAGGAGGUUGAACACGGGCCGAAUCUAGCUAAAGACCGAACAACACCGUCAAAGACCUUUUGAUAUUUUGAUCAUUAAAAUACAGUAAUGAAGGGCAUUACCGAAGGCCACAAUCCCUCGGAAAACGUCAUAAGCAGUCGCUAAAUAACCAUUACCGAGGGCCCGGCGACGGUCAAAAAGCCCUCGGUAAAUACAUUGUCGCUACUAUUACCGAGGGCCGAAAGCCCUCGGUAUAAAUGGGUCGUUGUCUAGUUUUUGUUUCACCGUGAUUUUUUCCUCUUGCAGAUGAAAAAUGGAACUAAGCAACCACCCAGGUUCGGUUUUGGGUUGAAAGGACCAUAAGAAAUUCAAAAGACGCAAGCUUUUUUUUGGGGGAAACUAACAAAAGGAGAUUGUGCUACUAGGCUAUCCAAAGACGGGAACAAAACUACACUAAAACACAACCAUUGUAUUAGACGUCGGUUAAUGCAAAAACCGACGUCUAUAGUGACUUUAGACGUCGGUCUUUGUCAUGUUCGACGUCUAUAUGUGCUCUUCGACGUCGGUUAAUGCGUUAUCUGACGUCUAAUUAGUGCCUUUAGACGUCCAUUCAAACCAAUGUCGAAGUUUAUUAACGUCGUUCGUGGGCACUAACUGACGUCAUUAUAAACGUCUGUAGUUAGGAUGUCGGACGUCCCAUUGACGUCACCGGUUUAGACGUCGGUUUAAGAUUAGACGUUAAAAGCCCAAAAUAACCGACUUUAAACAGC
Molecule: long non-coding RNA, 1041 nt
Filed under: Vigna radiata
Lineage: Eukaryota; Viridiplantae; Streptophyta; Magnoliopsida; Fabales; Fabaceae
Description: long non-coding RNA (VRAD_LNC010510)
Source: RNAcentral